CUCUCUCUCUCUCUCUCUCCUUCUUCGCAAACACAAAUGUCUCCCUCUCGCAACAUCCCCGCUUGGCUCCGCCCUACCUCCGAUCAUCCUCCUCCUCAUCCUCCGCAGUCACCGUCUCCCCUAGUCUCCGGCGACCCGAACCUCACAACGUGCCUAUACCAAACGGAUCACGGCGUGUUCUACCUCACAUGGUCACGCACUUUCUUAGGAGGCCACUCUCUAAACCUCUUCCUCCACUCACAAGACUACUACAACCGCUCCUCCCCUCUCUCCUUCUCCUCCGCCGACCUCUCCCUCUCCUCCGCCGUCUCCUUCCACCUCAACUUAAACACACUCGCCUUCUGGCGAAGACGCGGAUCCAGAUCCGUCUCCCCGAAAAUCCAAGUCUUCUGGGACCUGACCCGCGCCAAAUUCGACUCCGGAUCCGAGCCUAGAUCCGGCUUCUACAUCGCGGUGGUCGUCGACGGAGAGAUGGGGCUGUUAGUCGGAGACUCGGUCAAGGAGGCGUACUCUCGCGUCAAAUCGGCGAAACCGCCGACGAAUCCUCAAGCUCUCCUGCUGAGGAAGGAGCACGUGUUCGGCGCUAGGGUUUUCUCGACGAAGGCGAGGUUCGGAGGGAAGAGCAGGGAGAUCUCGAUCGAUUGCCGCGUGGACGAGGACGCGAGGCUGUGCUUCAGCGUGGACUCGAAGCAGGUGCUGCAGAUCAAGCGGCUGAGGUGGAAGUUCAGAGGGAACGAGAAAGUGGAGAUCGACGGCGUUCCCGUUCAGAUCUCCUGGGACGUUUACAAUUGGCUGUUCCAACAGAGCAAAUCGUCAGGAGAGGGAGGGCACGCGGUGUUCAUGUUCAGGUUCGAGAGCGAUCCCGAAGCUGAGGAGGAGGAGGAACAAGAGAGGAGUAAAAAUAAAAACGACGUCGUUGUGUGGAAGCCGAAGCCGAAGCCGAAGCAGAAGCAGUGUGGGAGCAGCUUGGGGAUUAAAGGGAUCGCCGAGUGGAGGAAGAUGAAGAGGAGGUUCGUUAAGAGCAAGAGGAGCUCUUCGUCUUCGUCGAUCUCCAUGUCUUCCGCUCAUAGCUUAGCUCUUUGUUCGUGAUUCGACCGAACCAAUUAUUUUUGUUCCCAGCAGCAUAAGGGAUGCAUCAUAAAUUGUCUUCCGAAAUUAGCAAUAGACUAGAGAAUAAUGAUCACACUAAUGUGAUAUAAAGGACGGUUUAAGAUUAAACUCCUAAUACGUUGUCAAUGCCAUUUAUAUACCAAUUUAAGAGUUUACACACAAUUAGACGUAUAUAUAUGUCCAGCAUCAAACAAUAGCGAGUAUUAUUACAAGUGUAGAUAAUCAGAUACGAAAUAGAAUACAGAGUAUUUUAAAUUUUUAUCACUUUUUAGGUUCUAUAAUGUGAAAUAAUGGAUAGUCUAUUGAUUAUGUUCUCCAAAGACUCCAAUGAAGAGUCAAGUGUGCAAGCAGUUAUCAUAUCAUGUUCCUCAUAGCUGAACAACUAAACAAUGUUCUAGGGACCCUAAUCUCUACACACUUUUUACAGCCUGAAAAAAAAAAGACGAAGCAAUAUAUUACCAAAGUGUUGGUGGUUACAUAUGGAAACAAUCAACGCUACAAAAAUUACAGAUAGGUUACAGUUAAACCGUGUUCUACACACGACAAACAAGGGGGAUGAAUAUGUGUAUCAGCUGAAUCUAUCUAUCAUCAUCCCACUAAGAAAGUCAAGUUUGAAAAAGUCAGUUUACAAGUUCUAUCAAUUUUUAUUCUUUUGGCAGCCUGCAUCCAAUUUUUGUUACGUAUGAUUCGAGCUAAACAUCAUUUUAUAAACCAUUCCAUUUUACGAGUUAACAAAAAAAAACUAUAUAAUAAAAAACCAUCUCGAGAAAAAAAAAAGGAAAGAAAUAAAACCUCCCAAUACAACUCCCUAAAAAAUCUCUCUUCUUCUUCGCAAACAGAAAUGUCUCCCUCUCGCAACAUCCCCGCUUGGCUCCGCCCUACCUCCGAUCAUCCUCCUCAUCCUCCGCCUCCACAGUCACCGUCUCCUUUAGUCUCCGGCGACCCGAACCUCACAACGUGCCUAUACCAAACGGAUCACGGCGUGUUCUACCUCACAUGGUCACGCACUUUCUUAGGAGGCCACUCUCUAAACCUCUUCCUCCACUCACAAGACUACUACAACCGCUCCUCCCCUCUCUCCUUCUCCUCCGCCGACCUCUCCCUCUCCUCCGCCGUCUCCUUCCACCUCAACUUAAACACACUCGCCUUCUGGCGAAGACGCGGAUCCAGAUCCGUCUCCCCGAAAAUCCAAGUCUUCUGGGACCUGACCCGCGCCAAAUUCGACUCCGGAUCCGAGCCUAGAUCCGGCUUCUACAUCGCGGUGGUCGUCGACGGAGAGAUGGGGCUGUUAGUCGGAGACUCGGUCAAGGAGGCGUACUCUCGCGUCAA
This 2439-nucleotide long non-coding RNA is filed under the name Brassica napus (rape). RNAcentral's name for it is "long non-coding RNA (BNAP_LNC023758)". The record is from RNAcentral. Lineage: Eukaryota; Viridiplantae; Streptophyta; Magnoliopsida; Brassicales; Brassicaceae.